GGUCGGCUGGCCUAAUGGUAAGGCAUCCGUUUCCGGUGCGGAAGAUUGCAGGUUCGAGCCCUGCGUCGAUCG
This 72-nucleotide transfer RNA is filed under the name Ascosphaera apis ARSEF 7405. RNAcentral describes it as "tRNA-Arg (CCG) (tRNA-Arg-CCG-1-1)". It matches the Rfam family "tRNA". Rfam says of the family: Transfer RNA (tRNA) molecules are approximately 80 nucleotides in length. Their secondary structure includes four short double-helical elements and three loops (D, anti-codon, and T loops). Lineage: Eukaryota; Fungi; Ascomycota; Eurotiomycetes; Onygenales; Ascosphaeraceae. The record is from RNAcentral.